GGUUAAAAAUUUCAUCCAUUUGUAUUGUUAAAAACUGGUGUAGCUGAUGAAAUAACUAGACAAUGAGACAUGACAUGACACAGUACCUCAUGCUGACAUACAUGGACUAAUUUAUUUCAAUAGAAAUAGAUGAAAUUAAUCUAAUA
RNAcentral lists this microRNA precursor (146 nucleotides) under Gossypium hirsutum (cotton). Its description in RNAcentral is "MIR7502 microRNA precursor family". It matches the Rfam family "MIR7502 microRNA precursor family". Lineage: Eukaryota; Viridiplantae; Streptophyta; Magnoliopsida; Malvales; Malvaceae. The record is from Rfam by way of RNAcentral.